UGGGCUCUGAGAGGUGCAUCUUCUGGCUCA
RNAcentral lists this non-coding RNA (30 nucleotides) under Homo sapiens (human). Lineage: Eukaryota; Metazoa; Chordata; Mammalia; Primates; Hominidae. The record is from RNAcentral.